This 220-nucleotide long non-coding RNA is filed under the name Physcomitrium patens. RNAcentral describes it as "long non-coding RNA (PPAT_LNC013370)". The record is from RNAcentral. Lineage: Eukaryota; Viridiplantae; Streptophyta; Bryopsida; Funariales; Funariaceae.
CUAAAGUGCUAGUACACUUCCAAGCAGAGGGGUAAUCUAUACUCUAACAAAGAAGAAACUAGCUCUGAUAUCUGAGGUGAGUGAAGUCUCGACAAACUGUCACGGACACAGAAUACAGACUUGAUAUCUAUCAAGAAGUUCAAGAAGAACUGGCAAGAACUAGAUUAAUGAGAUGAAUACAAGAACAACACUAGAGAGGUGAGCUAGAGCUCCAAGAGAU